This 253-nucleotide ribosomal RNA is filed under the name uncultured bacterium. RNAcentral's name for it is "partial 16S ribosomal RNA". It matches the Rfam family "Bacterial small subunit ribosomal RNA", at positions 524 to 776 of the family's 1533-position model. The record is from RNAcentral.
UACGAAGGGGGCUAGCGUUGCUCGGAAUCACUGGGCGUAAAGGGUGCGUAGGCGGGUCUUUAAGUCAGGGGUGAAAUCCUGGAGCUCAACUCCAGAACUGCCUUUGAUACUGAAGAUCUUGAGUUCGGGAGAGGUGAGUGGAACUGCGAGUGUAGAGGUGAAAUUCGUAGAUAUUCGCAAGAACACCAGUGGCGAAGGCGGCUCACUGGCCCGAUACUGACACUGAGGAGCGAAAGCGUGGGGAGCGAACAGG